UCCAUUAGGGGGUCUUCUAGUCAUGGUGGCAUAAUCCUGGAUUGUGAUUAAUGACAAUUUUAUAACAAAAUAUUGCCACCAGAACUUUCCGGUUUAUGAAUACAAGAUAUUGACCCAGACACGAAAUGAAAUGAUUCCUUACAACAGAAGUCAACCAAGGAACAUUCUAUUAAAACUGGCUCUGACUUACAUACUGAAAUGAGUCACACUGUGAAAGCUGCAGAAAGGACAGAAAACCAAGAAGGGCCUCCUCACACCCUGAUUAAACGCUGGAAGCAGACCCUGUGCUGUAACAACGCUCUGGCCACUCCUGAAAAAGCGGAUCUUGGGGAGGAAACCGCAGGCUCUCUUAUUAGGGCUCACAGCAUUCUACUGUAAACUCACUGCAGGCCUCGGCUCCAGCAAGACUCAUCCGUUCAAGCCUUUAAAUUACCCGACUUGCGGGCCAGUGGCAACUGAACGGCACUGGUGGCGGAGGGCGGUUGCUGCGCGAGUGAAGUGGCCUCCGUGUUUGCUAACCCCGCUAUUAUACUGCCCCGCUUGGAAACUUAAAGCGCUUCAGACAUCAGAUCUCACUCACUUCCUAAAUAGGCUUACGUCCGCGCGGCCACAGCCAUUGGGCAGGAGGGAGCCCCGAGUGCGCCAAGAACCCAGAGACCGUCCGGGGCUCGGCGCCUCCGACUGCGGUCGUAAUUUGAUCCUCAAAAUGCAAUCAUUUAAUUGAAAAAGGACUAAAAGCUGCCUGUAGGCCGGAUCCGUGGACUGCAGGGACUCAGGCACUGGAGGUGACCGGCGCCUGGCAGCUUCUCCUGAGUGGGGGUGGGAUCGUCGAGGAAAGGGGGCGGCCCCUUCAAGCGCACAAGGACACAGGCCGUCCUAACCCGGGACGCAGGGCCCAGGCGCCACGAGGACACCCCCACCCCGGAGGGACCCUAACGGAGGCUUCCCCGCGGCGCCGAGCCGAGGCCGAGGCGGGCACCGGGACAGCGAGGGGCGCGCCUAGGAAGGGCACGGUGUAGCCCCGGAGCCACGUGGCCGGCUCCCGCGUCCAGAAGGUCGGAGCCCACUUACCCA
Molecule: long non-coding RNA, 1074 nt
Organism: Rhinopithecus roxellana (golden snub-nosed monkey)
Lineage: Eukaryota; Metazoa; Chordata; Mammalia; Primates; Cercopithecidae
Exons: 3
Source: RefSeq, a predicted model, not a curated record